UGGGCCCUCACCUCAGGCUCCUCGUCUUCAGUCUCACCCACAGGGGACCCUUUUCCGGGGUUCCUCAGUUUGUCAAGAAGAUCUAGGAUCAGACCUCUGUUCAGCCCAGGCACAGGUACAGUUGUGAACCAAAGACAUACGUCCCAUCCCUGCCCUCAUGGAAAGAACAUUCCAGUGUGGGAGACAGAUGGUAAGGUAAGUAAAAUACAAAGCACGGAGGGAUGGAAGUGUAGCUCAGUGGUCAGGCAUUUGCCUAGCUUGUGCUAAGGCCCUCGGUUCAUCCCUAUCCUCAAAAAAAAAAAAAAUACACACGUGUAUA
Molecule: long non-coding RNA, 319 nt
Organism: Castor canadensis (American beaver)
Lineage: Eukaryota; Metazoa; Chordata; Mammalia; Rodentia; Castoridae
Source: RefSeq, a predicted model, not a curated record